UAUCUAAUGGGCUUAACCAUUAAACUGCUUGGGAAACUGAUAGUCUAGAGUGAGGGAGAGGCAGAUGGAAUUGGUGGUGUAGGGGUAAAAUCCGUAGAUAUCACCAAGAAUACCCAUUGCGAAGGCGAUCUGCUGGAACUCAACUGACGCUAAGGCGCGAAAGCGUGGGGAGCAAACAGGAUUAGAUACCCUGGUAGUCCACGCCCUAAACGAUGUACACUAGUUGUUGGGGUGCUAGUCAUCUCAGUAAUGCAGCUAACGCAUUAAGUGUACCGCCUGGGGAGUACGGUCGCAAGAUUAAAACUCAAAGGAAUAGACGGGGACCCGCACAAGCGGUGGAGCAUGUGGUUUAAUUCGAGGAUACGCGAAGAACCUUACCUGGGCUUGAUAUCCUAAGAACCUUUUAGAGAUAAGAGGGUACUAGCUUGCUAGAACUUAGAGACAGGUGCUGCACGGCUGUCGUCAGCUCGUGUCGUGAGAUGUUGGGUUAAGUCCCGCAACGAGCGCAACCCACGUAUUUAGUUGCUAACGGUUCGGCCGAGCACUCUAAAUAGACUGCCUUCGUAAGGAGGAGGAAGGUGUGGACGACGUCAAGUCAUCAUGGCCCUUAUGCCCAGGGCGACACACGUGCUACAAUGGCAUAUACAAUGAGACGCAAUACCGCGAGGUGGAGCAAAUCUAUAAAAUAUGUCCCAGUUCGGAUUGUUCUCUGCAACUCGAGAGCAUGAAGCCGGAAUCGCUAGUAAUCGUAGAUCAGCCAUGCUACGGUGAAUACGUUCCCGGGUCUUGUACUCACCGCCCGUCACACCAUGGGAGUUGAUUUCACUCGAAGCCGGAAUACUAAACAUUUUAUACGG
RNAcentral lists this ribosomal RNA (857 nucleotides) under Campylobacter jejuni. RNAcentral's name for it is "bacterial SSU rRNA". It matches the Rfam family "Bacterial small subunit ribosomal RNA", at positions 598 to 1449 of the family's 1533-position model. Lineage: Bacteria; Pseudomonadati; Campylobacterota; Epsilonproteobacteria; Campylobacterales; Campylobacteraceae. The record is from RNAcentral.